Molecule: ribosomal RNA, 253 nt
Filed under: uncultured bacterium
Lineage: Bacteria
Description: partial 16S ribosomal RNA
Rfam family: Bacterial small subunit ribosomal RNA
Source: RNAcentral
GACAGAGGCCUCGAGCGUUAGGCGGAAUCACUGGGCUUAAAGCGUGUGUAGGCGGGCCCGUAAGUGUCUUGUGAAAUCCCACGGCUCAACCGUGGAACUGCUGGGCAUACUGCGGGUCUUGGGCCAACUAGGGGCAGCCGGAACAAGCGGUGGAGCGGUGAAAUGCGUAGAUAUCAGGAGGAACACCGGUGGCGAAGGCGGGUCUCUGGGCAGUAACUGACGCUGAGGAGCGAAAGCGUGGGGAGCGAACAGG